GCUAAACAGCUAGCUUAAUUACCUAAACAAACAAACAACAUUAAACAGCUUAAAAUAGACCCCAAAUUACAUAAUCAAAACAUUUUACCGCCCAAGUAUGGGAGACAGAAAAGGCACCACAUAAAGCAAUAACAAAAGUACCGCAAGGGAAAGCUGAAAGAGAAAUGAAACAAAUCAUUAAAGCGCUACAAAGCAGAGACUAACCCUCGUACCUUUUGCAUCAUGAUUUAGCCAGUAUUAUUGAGCAAAGAGAACUUUAGUUCAAACCCCCGAAACUAAGUGAGCUACCCCGGGACAGCCUAUAAAUUAGGGCCAACCCGUCUCUGUGGCAAAAGAGUGGGAAGAUCCCCGGGUAGAGGUGACAGACCUACCGAACUUAGUUAUAGCUGGUUGCCUAAGAAAUGAAUAGAAGUUCAGCCCGCACUCCUCAACUCAAAACCACAUUUAAAAUUACGAGCCAGAGUAAUAUGCGAGAGUUAGUCAAAGGAGGUACAGCUCCUUUGAAUAAGAACACAAUCUUACCAGGAGGUUAAAGAUUAUACUAAUCAAGAUAUACCGCUUCAGUGGGCCUAAAAGCAGCCACCUGAACAGAAAGCGUUAAAGCUCGGGCGGCCUGACAAUCUAUUAUUCAAAUAAAUAAUCUUAAACCCCUAACCGUAUUAGGCCGCCCUAUGCCCCCAUAGAAGAGAUACUGCUAAAAUGAGUAAUAAGAAGGCAACCCCUUCUCCUAAGCCUACGUGUACGCUAGAUCGAACCCCCACUAGCAAUUAUCGAACCCAACAAAAGAGGGCAAUGUGUUAAUAUAAAACACCAAGAAAAUCACACACAACCCAAUCGUUAACCCCACACCGGAAGGCCUAAAAAUAAGGAAAGACUAAAAGAAAAGGAAGGAACUCGGCAAACACAAGCCUCGCCUGUUUACCAAAAACAUCGCCUCCUGCAAAAUCAAUGUAUAGGAGGUCUUACCUGCCCAGUGAUAAAUUUAACGGCCGCGGUAUUUUGACCGUGCAAAGGUAGCGCAAUCACUUGUCUUUUAAAUGAAGACCUGUAUGAAUGGUGGAACGAGGGCUUAACUGUCUCCCUUUUCAGGUCAAUGAAAUUGAUCUGCCCGUGCAGAAGCGGACAUAAAAAUACAAGACGAGAAGACCCUCUGGAGCUUUAGACACAAGAUCAACUAUGUAAAGGACUAUAAAAUAAGUAAAGCCAAAUAAUUUACCUGAUCCUAGUCUUCUGUUGGGGCGACCGCGGGAUAAAAUAAAACUCCCAUGAGGACUGGGGCUAUGCACCCAAAACUAAGAAAGACAUUUCCAAGUCACAGAAUAUCUGACCUAAAAGAUCCGGCUGUAUGCCGACCAACGAACCAAGUUACCCUAGGGAUAACAGCGCAAUCCCCUUACAGAGUCCCUAUCGACAAGGGGGUUUACGACCUCGAUGUUGGAUCAGGACAUCCUAAUGGUGCAGCCGCUAUUAAGGGUUCGUUUGUUCAACGAUUAAAGUCCUACGUGAUCUGAGUUCAGACCGGAGUAAUCCAGGUCAGUUUCUAUCUGUAAUGCUACUCUUCCUAGUACGAAAGGAUUGGAAAAGAGGGGCCCAUAUCCUAAAUACGCCCCACCCCAACUUAAUGACACCAACUCAAUUAAAAUAU
RNAcentral lists this ribosomal RNA (1645 nucleotides) under Megalonema platanum. RNAcentral's name for it is "partial 16S ribosomal RNA". The stretch from base 98 to 1566 matches the Rfam family "Bacterial large subunit ribosomal RNA". Lineage: Eukaryota; Metazoa; Chordata; Actinopteri; Siluriformes; Pimelodidae. The record is from RNAcentral.